AACCGGUCGAAAACAAUCACGCAGCCGUGGGAGUCCAAAUUUAUUUUUCUGCACGAAUACAAAAUUUCUUCGAUCCAAGGUUUUUGAUAAAGAAUCUUAUAGGGGAGAAACAUUAUUCGAACCGGGAAUGGGAAGGAGCACCGAGCAAUGGAGGAGGGUUUUUUCUCCGAUUGCUUUCAUUCUAGUGAAACCCCAGUUCGAGUGUUUCCAAUCAGAGAGAGAGGGUUUUUUCAUAGAGCAGUUUCUCAUUUGCUCGAGAGACAAGAGUUUCAAGUAGAGAGAGAGAGAGCAACGGAGAUGGAGGGUUUUUUCUCCGAUUGCUUUCAUUCUAGGGAAAACCCAGUUAGAGUCAUCUUCGAGUGUUUCCAAUCAACUCAACUGAAUCGGUCACUCAAGGGACCGUGGCAACAUCAUUUUUUUUCUUCCGCAAUCUACAAAACACCACCAACCGGUGACCUUUGUUUCCUGCGACUAAUCGCGAAUCUUAGCUAUUAGUAGUACAAGUAAUAAAUCCAAAAGAGAUUUGUGUCAUCCAAGUGCCUAAACUGAUCCAUAUGACUUGAGCAAGGGUUUAUCACAGACCUGAGACCAAAUCAUUUCAAAAAAAAAAAGAUUUUCGAGCCGUAAAAGAUUGGUGUGGUUUGCAACUUACUUAGCGGUUCAGGAAAUAUUUUCUAAAAAUUAAUACUCGAAGUGAUCAAUCGUCCACCACCACACACCGUUUAGAGUUCUACUCUGAAAAGCCCCAAAUAAAUUUGGGAGUUCUAACCGAAACAACCUCUAGAAGCGAGGUUCAUUUAAGCACGAGGGAUUGAAGCGAGAAAUCCAAUCAUUGAUCUAACCAGGUGAUGUUCAAUCAUUUGCAAGGAUAUGCAUUGUUGGGAGAUAUCCGAACCAGGUGUCAUGUGUAAACUGCUGCUGCUAUCUACAGGCUCUAACCUUUGCAGUUCUAAGAAGAUAGGAACCUAAAUUUGAUGCUGUACAGGAUAAACCAAAGAAUUUGAGAACAGAUUUAUUAUGAGUGCAAAUAGAUAAGUUUCCCCCCUUUUACAUUUAUUUCUACUACUUUUACUCACAUGCAUGAGCAACUCAGAAUUAUUAACUUCAAUUACAUUUUGGUAUGACCAGAAUUUUUAGUUGACUGUCUUGUGUUUUGCAUUUGUCGUAAAUAAGAAGCUAGUUUUUCAAGUGUUCAAGGCUUUAAGGUUGUUUUAGAUACAAUAUUCUAGGAUUUGUUUCCCUGUAUCUUCAAGCCUUAAUUUGAGGAAUCAAAAGAUGAUUUACCCUUCUUUUAUAUUGUAUCAAAGCUCUCUUGAACUAAGUAUUUGUUCCCCAAAUUUUUAACCACUUUCAAGUGAAUUUAAUAGUAUUUAAAAUUAAAAUAAAUCACUUGAUAUCAAUGGUUGAAUCAUACUAACUGCUAAUGCUUUAAACCUGAAAAUUGAUGAAUAUAUAUUUGUUAAAGCAUUCUGUAAUAGCAAUGACAUGGCUGUCUUUUUGGAAUUAUUGAAAUUUGCAAAUAUCAAUCUUGGGAAGAAUUUUUAAAUCAUUUUGUCUUGUUUCCAUGCCCAGCUAGUUGUUUUGUUGAGUUUUUACUAUUAUUAUUUAUUUUUUGUAUUUCUUUUUGAUGCAGCCUGGUCAUUUUCAAGGCCAUACUUAUAAUAUAGUAUCUGCCUUUCAGCAAGCCAUCAUAUUUCAGUUCUACACACCCCUCCAUGGCCUUUUCAGUUGUACCACACUGUAUUUCUCAGUUCAUAUUAGAUGAUGUAGUGUAAACAGAUAUUCUGAUGAACAAAUGCAACUGACCUUUGGGUCUUUCCAAUGUGUAUGUUUGCUACUUUAAUCAUCCAUAUCAUCCAUCUACAUUUCAUCAAAGUUAAAGCUACAUUUUCUAGCUAUGCUUUUCAUUUUUUGUGUGGUCUGAAAUUCAUGCCCUGGAGCAGGUGCCUGUGGCGUGGCAUGUAUAUAGCAAAUACCAUGGCUUCUGUGCUGGAAUAGACAGCAGUAUCAUAAGUACUUUGCUUAUAGCAUGAAAAAGAAAAAGAGAGCUGGGAAACUACCAUCCAAGAGAGUAUGUAUUGACUUGGCGAUUGUGGGAAGGGAAAGACAAGACCUUCUACAGUUUUAUGAAGGGUUUGCAUCUGGACAACAUUCUUGUUGUUUUCUCUGCAUUGCCAUCACUAAAUUUGGAAGGAUUGCAUGGGGCGUUUUGACAUGUUAAUAUUAUAGUUGUUCUUUUAAUCCAAGAGGCCAUCAAGGAUCGCAUUAUAUUUUGCAUAGGUUUAACAUUAUGUCAAGUGGAUUUGCAUUGGAAGAUGUGCUACAUUAUAUGACAUUGAAUGUUUUUGAAGCCCUUGUGUUUUUCUAUAUGUCAAUUGGAUAUUGUAUUUAUUCAUCAAAAAAAUUUGGAUAUUGUAU
Molecule: non-coding RNA, 2418 nt
Organism: Nelumbo nucifera (sacred lotus)
Lineage: Eukaryota; Viridiplantae; Streptophyta; Magnoliopsida; Proteales; Nelumbonaceae
Source: RefSeq, a predicted model, not a curated record